RNAcentral lists this ribosomal RNA (419 nucleotides) under uncultured Planctomycetales bacterium. RNAcentral describes it as "bacterial SSU rRNA". It matches the Rfam family "Bacterial small subunit ribosomal RNA", at positions 53 to 482 of the family's 1533-position model. The record is from RNAcentral. Lineage: Bacteria; Pseudomonadati; Planctomycetota; Planctomycetia; Planctomycetales.
GCAUGCAAGUCGAGCGAGAAAUUUACUUCGGUAAAUGGACAGCGGCGAAAGGGACAGUAAUGUGUAGGUACCUACCCUCUGAUCUGGGAUAGCUGCGGGAAACUGCAGGUAAUACCGGAUAAUGUCUUCGGACCAAAGGUGUGAUUCCGUCUGAGGAGGGGCCUGCAUCCUAUUAGCUUGUUGGUGAGGUAAUGGCUCACCAAGGCAACGAUGGGUAGCGGGUGUGAGAGCAUGACCCGCGUCAUUGGGACUGAGACACUGCCCAGACAUCUACGGAUGGCUGCAGUCGAGAAUCUUCGGCAAUGGGCGAAAGCCUGACCGAGCGACGCCGCGUGCGGGAUGAAGGCCCUCGGGUUGUAAACCGCUGUCGUUGGGGAGGAAAUGCAGGAGGGCUAUCCCUCUUGUUUGACCGAUCCAAG